UACGGGAGGCAGCAGUGGGGAAUAUUGCACAAUGGGCGAAAGCCUGAUGCAGCUAUGCCGCGUGUAUGAAGAAGGCCUUAGGGUUGUAAAGUACUUUUCAUCGGGGAGGAAAAAAACAAAAACUAAUAAUUUUAUUUCUUGACGUUACCCGAAAAAGAAGCACCGGCUAACUCCGUGCCAGCAGCCGCGGUAAUACGGAGGGUGCUAGCGUUAAUCAGAAUUACCGGGCGUAAAGAGCACGUAGGUGGUUUUUUUAAAGUCAGAUGUGAAAUCCCUGGGCUUAACCUGGAACUGCAUUUUGAAACUGAAAUACUAGAGUAUCGUAGAGGGAGGUAGAAUUCUAGGUGUAGCGGUGAAAUGCGUAGAUAUCUGGAGGAAUACCUGUGGCGAAAGCGGCCUCCUAAACGAAUACUGACACUGAGGUGCGAAAGCGUGGGGAGCAAACAGGGAUUAGAUAC
Molecule: ribosomal RNA, 458 nt
Filed under: uncultured bacterium
Lineage: Bacteria
Description: bacterial SSU rRNA
Rfam family: Bacterial small subunit ribosomal RNA
Source: RNAcentral